UACGUAGGGUGCAAGCGUUGUCCGGAUUUAUUGGGCGUAAAGAGCUCGUAGGCGGUCUGUCGCGUCUGCUGUGAAAACUCAGGGCUUAACCCUGAGCUUGCAGUGGGUACGGGCAGACUAGAGUGCGGUAGGGGAGACUGGAAUUCCUGGUGUAGCGGUGAAAUGCGCAGAUAUCAGGAGGAACACCGGUGGCGAAGGCGGGUCUCUGGGCCGAAACUGACGCUGAGGAGCGAAAGCGUGGGGAGCAAACAGG
This 253-nucleotide ribosomal RNA is filed under the name uncultured bacterium. Its description in RNAcentral is "partial 16S ribosomal RNA". It matches the Rfam family "Bacterial small subunit ribosomal RNA", at positions 524 to 776 of the family's 1533-position model. The record is from RNAcentral.